GAUGAAGAACGUAGCGAAAUGCGAUAAGUAAUGUGAAUUGCAGAAUUCAGUGAAUCAUCGAAUCUUUGAACGCACAUUGCGCCCCCUGGUAUUCCGGGGGGCAUGCCUGUCCGAGCGUCAUUACAACCCUCAAGCUCAGCUUGGUGUUGGGCCCCGCCGCCCCGGCGGGCCCUAAAGUCAGUGGCGGUGCCGUCCGGCUCCGAGCGUAGUAAUUCUUCUCGCUCUGGAGGUCCGGUCGUGUGCUCGCCAGCAACCCCCAAUUUUUUUCAGGUUGACCUCGGAUCAGGUAGGGAUACCCGCUGAACUUAAGCAUAUCAAUACGCGGAGGA
Molecule: unclassified non-coding RNA, 329 nt
Filed under: soil metagenome
Description: partial contains 5.8S ribosomal RNA, internal transcribed spacer 2, and large subunit ribosomal RNA
Rfam family: 5.8S ribosomal RNA (bases 1-120)
Source: RNAcentral